Molecule: ribosomal RNA, 969 nt
Filed under: Finegoldia magna
Lineage: Bacteria; Bacillati; Bacillota; Tissierellia; Tissierellales; Peptoniphilaceae
Also listed under: 1 other name
Description: bacterial SSU rRNA
Rfam family: Bacterial small subunit ribosomal RNA
Source: RNAcentral
UUUAAUGAGAGUUUGAUCCUGGCUCAGGACGAACGCUGGCGGCGUGCCUAAUACAUGCAAGUAGAACGCUGAGGUUUGGUGUUUACACUAGACUGAUGAGUUGCGAACGGGUGAGUAACGCGUAGGUAACCUGCCUCAUAGCGGGGGAUAACUAUUGGAAACGAUAGCUAAUACCGCAUAAGAGUAAUUAACACAUGUUAGUUAUUUAAAAGGAGCAAUUGCUUCACUGUGAGAUGGACCUGCGUUGUAUUAGCUAGUUGGUGAGGUAAAGGCUCACCAAGGCGACGAUACAUAGCCGACCUGAGAGGGUGAUCGGCCACACUGGGACUGAGACACGGCCCAGACUCCUACGGGAGGCAGCAGUAGGGAAUCUUCGGCAAUGGACGGAAGUCUGACCGAGCAACGCCGCGUGAGUGAAGAAGGUUUUCGGAUCGUAAAGCUCUGUUGUUAGAGAAGAACGUUGGUAGGAGUGGAAAAUCUACCAAGUGACGGUAACUAACCAGAAAGGGACGGCUAACUACGUGCCAGCAGCCGCGGUAAUACGUAGGUCCCGAGCGUUGUCCGGAUUUAUUGGGCGUAAAGCGAGCGCAGGCGGUUCUUUAAGUCUGAAGUUAAAGGCAGUGGCUUAACCAUUGUACGCUUUGGAAACUGGAGGACUUGAGUGCAGAAGGGGAGAGUGGAAUUCCAUGUGUAGCGGUGAAAUGCGUAGAUAUAUGGAGGAACACCGGUGGCGAAAGCGGCUCUCUGGUCUGUAACUGACGCUGAGGCUCGAAAGCGUGGGGAGCAAACAGGAUUAGAUACCCUGGUAGUCCACGCCGUAAACGAUGAGUGCUAGGUGUUAGGCCCUUUCCGGGGCUUAGUGCCGCAGCUAACGCAUUAAGCACUCCGCCUGGGGAGUACGACCGCAAGGUUGAAACUCAAAGGAAUUGACGGGGGCCCGCACAAGCGGUGGAGCAUGUGGUUUAAUUC